Molecule: long non-coding RNA, 1475 nt
Organism: Daphnia magna
Lineage: Eukaryota; Metazoa; Arthropoda; Branchiopoda; Diplostraca; Daphniidae
Exons: 4
Source: RefSeq, a predicted model, not a curated record
UAGAAGAAAGGCACAGUCUAGUAGUUUAGUUACUUCCAUCGGAUGAAGAAAAUAACUAUGAGUGAAAGAUCAACACCCAAAACAUCAAGAAAAACAUUUAAAAACCCAGUCCAAAACAAAAAGAAGGUGCAUCCUUCCUGGAGAUCCUGGAGAUCCUGGAGUAUGUUGACAGCGAUGGUGACAUUUCAGACAAAUGUUAUAAGCCAGUAAUGUUUGCUAGCAGUCAAUCAGAGCUGGAAGCAGUCUCAUUGGAAAAAAACCAAGAAGAAUCCAUGCCAUGAGGAUGAGGGGAGACUUUGGUGAAAAGGAAAUGUAAACUACCAGCUGUGAAUUCAAAAAGUGUUUUAAGCACAUUAUCUAACAUAAAGUUAUACACUUGUCAUUCUCCUUCUACCAUCAGUAAUACCAGGAAAAGAAAUUGUCUGACUUCAGUUGCAGAGAUGACGAUGGUACAGUUCGCGAUAGCCAAAGUGAAGAUCGACGUUUUUCUUAUUGCCAUACAAUUUCCUCAAGCCAAAGAAAAUUCGUGAUGCACAGCGACGCCGUCCUGACGAUCCCGAAUACGAUACGAGAACUAUUUAUGUGCCUGAUUCGUUCAAGUAAAACCUCACACCAGCGUCAGUGGUGGGAGAUGAAUAUCAAUAACUUUGAUGUUAAACUGUUCUUCAAAGUCGACAAAUUAUAAGAAGUAUAUACCAUGCUAACGCGCUGAUUGCUAUCAAGGAAUUGGAGAUCAUCUUUAUGAAAGGCGAUCAUGCACACUGCGGAUUUCCCGAGCGAGGCUUUACGAAAUACUGCUCUCAGUUGAUAGAAAAAGUCCACCACCGAACAUGAUGAUCGAGCGUCGUAAACGCAUCUCUUGCCCCAUCAAGUUUGACCGCGCCGUAGAACGUAAGGUAUGUCAGGUUACUUCCCGUGAAACUCGGACGUACAUUGCGAUCGAGGGGGAUAAUUGGUAGGUAUAUCUUUACAUGAUGUACCUUAUUUCGACUGAGCGUUUUACAUGAGUAAGUUGAACAUCAUUUCUUGAUAGCAGUUUGGAAAAAAGUGCCAAUCGUCUUGAUCCCUCUUCCCUGCGAUCGCGAUUCGAGUCAACGCAUUCCAUCAUGCUAGCGAUCGGUCAUUUUUCGACCAUUCCUUUCAUAUGAUUUUAUGACUGGAAUCCCUGCAAUUCCUGAUACUCAUCUGGCCCAAGAGGUUGUAGACAAGAUGGUUGAAGCCGUCUUAACUGUUCCAGGAAUUUUCAGGGUCUUGUAUGACCUGACGGCAAAACCACCCGGGGCAACGGAGUGGGAAUGAUUUGAUUUACGAACGUUGCUUAGGCAAAUCAUCUCCGCACUCUUUAUAGGACACGGGCACGGAAUUGUAUCAUUGACCAGAUUUAGAUGGGAAAUAUUAUGAACAGUGGAUUCAAUCAAUUGUUUUCACAAGUGAAGAUUCAUUCCAUAAUCUUCAGCUUCCCAGGCAGACACCCA